GCUGCAUUCCGCUGAGGUUACUUGACAUAGGCAUGCACAAACAAAUUCUCAGUGCAAUUUACAUUUUGGAAAAGUGUCUUUCGAAUUCUUUUCAUAAAUGUGUGCCGAGAUACGCUUGGGAAAGAAUGCAAAGCAACUGUUGACAAUCGUGUAAUCGCCCGCAUGCAAUUUGAGUUUGAGACCACUGGCUUAAAGCAUACAUACUUAUUGCAACUGCUGCUCAGAAGAGAAUGUAAAAGUUCCUUCAUAUGCCAUUUAACUGAGUGAAGAUCUUGGAACAAGUCCUUUAUUCAGAGCAUAGUAUCUUCAGUUCCCUCAUCCCUGAUUUUACAGGUAUAUUUCUAACCUGAAUGAGUGAUUUUAUGUAUAAUUUUCUUUAGAUAUUUAACUUUCAUUUAUAUCAUUUCAGUUGAAAAUUUUUUGCAUAAAGGGUGAAAUGUUAGUAGCGGUGUAAUUUAAAUACUUUAUACCCACUUCACUGCAUUAACCCCUUCGAGCUGGGUAGCGAAAACGUGCGCUUAUCGUGGAGGCCAGCAGUGUCUUACGCGAGCGUCUCUCCAGGGCCGGGGGCUUUUUUGCUACUAAACCUAAAUCCAUGAAAUUUCCGAAGUAUCAAUGCAUUGUUUAAUAAUGCUCUAUAGAGUAUUUAAAUGGCUUA
This is a long non-coding RNA of Stegodyphus dumicola, 658 nucleotides long. RefSeq lists it as uncharacterized. NCBI's taxonomy places the organism in Eukaryota, Metazoa, Arthropoda, Arachnida, Araneae, Eresidae. The record is from RefSeq and is a predicted model, not a curated record.